RNAcentral lists this ribosomal RNA (897 nucleotides) under Lacticaseibacillus paracasei. Its description in RNAcentral is "bacterial SSU rRNA". It matches the Rfam family "Bacterial small subunit ribosomal RNA", at positions 57 to 916 of the family's 1533-position model. The record is from RNAcentral. Lineage: Bacteria; Bacillati; Bacillota; Bacilli; Lactobacillales; Lactobacillaceae.
GCAAGUCGAACGAGUUCUCGUUGAUGAUCGGUGCUUGCACCGAGAUUCAACAUGGAACGAGUGGCGGACGGGUGAGUAACACGUGGGUAACCUGCCCUUAAGUGGGGGAUAACAUUUGGAAACAGAUGCUAAUACCGCAUAGAUCCAAGAACCGCAUGGUUCUUGGCUGAAAGAUGGCGUAAGCUAUCGCUUUUGGAUGGACCCGCGGCGUAUUAGCUAGUUGGUGAGGUAAUGGCUCACCAAGGCGAUGAUACGUAGCCGAACUGAGAGGUUGAUCGGCCACAUUGGGACUGAGACACGGCCCAAACUCCUACGGGAGGCAGCAGUAGGGAAUCUUCCACAAUGGACGCAAGUCUGAUGGAGCAACGCCGCGUGAGUGAAGAAGGCUUUCGGGUCGUAAAACUCUGUUGUUGGAGAAGAAUGGUCGGCAGAGUAACUGUUGUCGGCGUGACGGUAUCCAACCAGAAAGCCACGGCUAACUACGUGCCAGCAGCCGCGGUAAUACGUAGGUGGCAAGCGUUAUCCGGAUUUAUUGGGCGUAAAGCGAGCGCAGGCGGUUUUUUAAGUCUGAUGUGAAAGCCCUCGGCUUAACCGAGGAAGCGCAUCGGAAACUGGGAAACUUGAGUGCAGAAGAGGACAGUGGAACUCCAUGUGUAGCGGUGAAAUGCGUAGAUAUAUGGAAGAACACCAGUGGCGAAGGCGGCUGUCUGGUCUGUAACUGACGCUGAGGCUCGAAAGCAUGGGUAGCGAACAGGAUUAGAUACCCUGGUAGUCCAUGCCGUAAACGAUGAAUGCUAGGUGUUGGAGGGUUUCCGCCCUUCAGUGCCGCAGCUAACGCAUUAAGCAUUCCGCCUGGGGAGUACGACCGCAAGGGUUGAAACUCAAAGAAAUUGACGG